Molecule: microRNA precursor, 89 nt
Filed under: Bombyx mori (domestic silkworm)
Lineage: Eukaryota; Metazoa; Arthropoda; Insecta; Lepidoptera; Bombycidae
Description: miRNA-285
Source: RNAcentral
AAUCAACAGUCGUACUCAAGACCUCAAGACUCAAGAAGCAGAAGAGAGCAGUGUAGAAAAAUGUCCAUGUUUCGACAACUGUAUUCGAG